UGUUUAAAUGUUCCAGCUAUUCUCUAUUUCCUUGAAAAGGGUGCUCAACCGACAAGAACUGUUUAUGAUAUUUUAAGGAAGGCGGAAUUCUUUAAAGAAAAAGAAAGCACUUUGAGUUAA
Molecule: ribosomal RNA, 120 nt
Filed under: Triticum aestivum (bread wheat)
Lineage: Eukaryota; Viridiplantae; Streptophyta; Magnoliopsida; Poales; Poaceae
Description: partial small subunit ribosomal RNA
Source: RNAcentral